This 63-nucleotide transfer RNA is filed under the name Tenebrionoidea sp. 20 KM-2017. RNAcentral describes it as "tRNA-Leu". The record is from RNAcentral. Lineage: Eukaryota; Metazoa; Arthropoda; Insecta; Coleoptera.
AUUAUUUUGGCAGAUUAGUGCGAUAGAUUUAGGAUCUUUUUAUGUAGGUUAAUACAAAUAAUA